RNAcentral lists this long non-coding RNA (915 nucleotides) under Anas platyrhynchos platyrhynchos (common mallard). RNAcentral describes it as "lncRNA (ENSAPLG00000016837.1)". The record is from RNAcentral. Lineage: Eukaryota; Metazoa; Chordata; Aves; Anseriformes; Anatidae.
CGCUCAUUACAGAGAAGGGGCCAUGAGGCAACGUCCCGUCUGCUUGUGGUUAAAUCUGCCACUGCUGUUAUUACUACUAUUAUUUUUCAGAAAGGCUAAGCAUGACUAAAACCUGGGUGUCACAAAGUCAAGACGCAUGAGGGCCAACUAUGCAAUGAUACACAGAGCCAGAAAAAACAAGUAAGCCACCUCCAAGAUUUUUUUUUUAGGAUUUUUUUUUUUUUUUUUUUUUUUUUUGUGAGUGAAAUUUGUAAAGCAAAGGAAAUAUCCUUCUAAUUAUUUGAUUUACAUUGAGGCAUUCAGCUUUCCAUUAUGUGAUGGGGUCAUGGGUUUUUCCUUAAAACAAAAAUUUUAAAAAUUGAGGAGUUGAGGGAAAAAUGGCUUUGUGUACAGCCCAUUAACUUCUGUGUGCUGAACACGCACCCGCUCCCAUGGAGCAAACAGAAGAACUUUUAUGCAGCAUCAGAGAGGACCAGCCUAGGACUUGCACGAACAGCACUAACUGAAUGAAGAUAUAUUUGAUUAACCACGGCGCCUUUUCCUGCUGGCCCCAAGGAAGGCCACCCUGCCUCCAUCUUGCAUUUGACAGGCGUCCCUCCCACAGCUCCUGGGGUUUCUCAGUGAGGGUCUUCUCCACCUCCACCACACAUGGGACUGCCACCACCACAGGGAGAGGCAGAGGAGAGGCUGCAAGAUGAACACCCUGACAGAGUGUUAGAGUUAGGGAGUGACACGGAGGAACUGACCUGCACACGGAGGGAGUUUUCCAGGCUGAAAUUCUGAUGCUCAAGGAAGCGUGAACAUCAGAGAUGCUGCUAGGUAAGUCUGACACAAAUUAUCCAGUCACACACACUACUCAGAAAUGUCUCAUUUCCUUUCUGGCUUUCACUGGGAAAAUAAGAACUAUGCAUCUUA